AUAUAUUUGUUUUCCGUUAAAAGUGUGCGUCUGGUAAAGAUUAUUUCAGAUAAUAAUGCAAUGUAUAUGUUAACAAGUAACGAUAUACCCUUUAGUUGUUUGUAAUUCAAGUCAUGUAUAACCUUCCAUAAAAGGUACACCUAUAAUCUAUUCCAAGUAGAAAUAAUAUACAUUAAGAAAUGAACUGCCUUCUGAAACAUAUGCAUUUUGUAUUUCCAAAAAAAAUAUGGUUAUUUUUAUGUUAUUUCUGUGCGUUUACGGUAGCUUUUCAAUGGGAGGCAUUUCUCUAUCCACGGUUGACAUGAAAGACGAUAUAGAAUACUACAUUUUAAUAGCGUAGAUAUCAUUUCUGAUAGUGUAUGUUUGAAUUGUUUUAUUUAAUAAUGUGCAAUUAUUUUUUUUUACUGUGAUAUAUGAGGAAAUAUGGUGAAGGGCUAAAUAUAAAAUGAGACGUCUAUUCCAUGUAUAUGUGUAUCUUUUAGUAAACUAACUAUAUAUAUUAUCAUCUCUUUUACAUUUAGUGCGUUUGUUUUUCAUGUGAAACAUACAACAGAAUAUAUACAUGCAAAUGUAGGGAAGAAAAAAUACGAUAUCUGAUUAGAAAAAAAGAUUGUACGAUUGAAGUACAUGCAUGAAAACAACAAAAAUCUUUAAAAUUAACCCAGUUUAGAAUUUUUUAGUUUUAUCUUUGUUUUCAGGUAACCUGCCACCCGAUAUUAAGCAAUUAUAAAUAAUAAAUUCUUGAAAACGUUUACAAAAAAACGAAAGAAGAAACUGUACUUUUAAAAUUCUCUUGAAUAUGUUUCGAUAGAAAUACAUAAAGUUUAACCAAUUUAAUUACAAUUUAUAUAGAUAUCCGCACUUGUUAUGCCUGGUCGUUAAGCGAGUGCGGUAAUUUAUUUUUAAUUAAAUCAAAAUUUGAAAAGAUUUUAUCCGCCUUAUGAAGCAGAAGGCGUAGUUUUGAUUAAUUAAAUUUGAUAACAUAUUUUUAUAUAAGAUUUUAUUAAUUUUGAUUCAAACAGGAAAACAGUAUAGAAAAUAAGACAUUUUUUACAAGAAUAUGUAUGUUACACCCAACACAGAGAUAUUCAGAGGUUGAAUCAUAGUAUAUACAAAUGGUCACAGAUAUUGUAAAUGUACGUAUUUGGAUGUAUAUUUCAAUAUAUUUAAUUAGACGAAUAGAAGAAUCCAAGAUAACGUAGUCACAUUCCAUUUUUCAUUUUUAUUAUAUUUAAUCAUUUAGAUUUUGUACAUUAUUCACAUUGUAGUUACUGCACUUUUAUUUAAUUUAUGCACAAUAAUGUAAAUAAAUGAUAAUGAAACCGAUACUGCUAUUAACAUCAUCUGUAGAGUCAGAAAUAAUAUAGUCAUCCACAAGCCAAGACAACCUGGUUUUAUCAUGUAUAUUAGAUGCCAUGGGAUUUACACAAAACUCAAAGAAAACUUAAUUGAAUAUUGGUGAUUCAUCAUUAUAGGAAAUAUCUGAGACUACUAUAAGACAUGUGUUAUAGUAGUCUCAGGAAAUAGGCAUAGGUUUUCAAUACUUUCUUUUUAAUCUAUAGAUAUAUAUUUUGCCUUAAAUAGAAUCAUUUUAUCAUUAUGUCAUCUUUGAGGAAUUGAGAUAAUUUGGGGGAGGAGAGGGGAAGGAUCGGAAAUAUUUACCGUUUUAUCAUCUCACAAUACAUCAUUUGAUCAUUGCUAUUAAAUCACACCUUUCAUUUAUGCAUUACUUGCAACCAUUUUUUCUCAUGUUUCUAAAUUAUUUACAACAGGUCACUGGCCACAAUUUAUUUCUCUUACGUUUUUGUCAGAUUAAAUAAAUCGCAUCCUACCGUUUUGUCCAAUUUCUUAUGUGUGUAAUUCUAACCAGACCAAGUAUAACAUAAUACCAAACAUUCAAGAAAAUAGCACCUUUAAAACUCAUAAAAUUCGAUCUAUGCAGAAGAAGAUGUUUCAAAAGCUGUAAAUAUUACCUUUUUGCGUCUGACACAAUUCACUUUUUCUAUUAUAGAACAUUUUCUUUAACAUAAAAUAUAAAAAAUGUAUUUUCAUUUUUUUUUUUCAUUUCUGAAACUGUUUUCUUCAAAACUUUCAACCUUCAACUAUUUUGAUUACUUGGAAUUUUCAAUCCCCAUAACUAGAUAACCAACUGGCUGUAUUUAGAAAACUUUUGUAAAUUUUCGGGUCCUCAAACCUCUUCAUCUUUGUUAUGCGUACAAACAUUUAAUUCUAGUAUCACAAAUGAGUAAGGGAAAGACAAAAUACACUAUAAUUGAAGAGAACAACGAAAAAGGGUCAUCAAUUGUAGUCCUGGGCAACUGAAUACCAUUCAAGUGAAAACUAAUUACCGUGACCAACACUUCUUUGACUCUCUCAUCAUCUAUGCAAUGUUUUCCAAUGUUAUAGUGUUGUUCUGUAAAAAUGAUUUAAACUGUUUGCAGAUUAUUUUGUAUUUUCAUUCUAAAAACAAUAAAAUCAUUCAUCAGUCAA
Molecule: long non-coding RNA, 2490 nt
Filed under: Mytilus galloprovincialis (Mediterranean mussel)
Lineage: Eukaryota; Metazoa; Mollusca; Bivalvia; Mytilida; Mytilidae
Source: RNAcentral